CUGGUUUAUCUUCUUCGUUUUAGAUCUCGUCGGAAACUGACAACAACCCACGAUUCCGACAGAACGUUAUCACGCUUCCAACUAAGAAUCGCACGCUCCGCUUACGUUUCCAAUCAUCAAUUUUUAGGAAUCGCGCUUCCCUUCUUCUUAUAUAUCUCCUAGGGUUUCCUCGAUUCGUCUUCUGAUUCUUCUUCGUCUUUUACUUUUUUUCUGAUUCGAUUCGUCUUCGUCUUCGUCUUUUUCUUUCUGAUUCGAUUCCUCUUCUUCUUCUUCCUUCUUCUGAUUAACCAUGAAGCGCAAUACAUCCUCAUCCUCGCCAAACACGACCAUGAAGCGCCUCCAUAAGAUGUUGGUGGAGAUUUCGAUAGCUGAGGACGAGGACGAAACAGGGUUCAUCAGACCCGGGAAAAAGCUACUCAAUUCUAUUGACAAAGUAGAGAAGAUUGUGAUGAAGGAGAUCGAGAAACUGAAGAGCACUCCUCAAGCAAAAGCGGAAGAGAGGGAUAAGAAGGCCUACCAUUGAGAGAGAAGAAGAGCAGCUGGCCCUGAGGAUGUUCUUGAUUCGGCGCUGGAAGGUUUGAUCGACAGGUCACGGUGGAUAGAUAGGCCUGAUGUGGCUGGCAGAGUCAAGAUUCUUCAGGUUUUUCCUUUGCUGUUUUAUAAAGUUUACUGCUUAGUGAGGUGCCAACUCUUACCAUGUUCACUUUUCUAUUUGCAUCAAAUGAUGUCUGUUUAGCUGGUUUGAUUCAAUUGUUUGGUGUAAACGGCUUGUAGAGAAAUAUUUACAAGAGUCAGUCAGUAUAUAUGUUUCAGAUCUUUUUCUAGGGUUUUAGUAUAAUCAUUAAAGAAGUUUCUAUAUAUACCAGAAAAACAAAGCUGAAUGUUGUUGCUUCAUGUCUCUCUUUUUAACUUUUUGUUUUGAGGAUUUUAUUUUGAUCUAUGUUAAACUUUUGGGUGUUAUAGUUUAUAUAAAUCAAGAAGGUUGUUUUCAUGAUCACUGUUAUAACUGUUGUGCUGUGCAUAAACCUAACCCGUUUUAUAUUAAGAAGGUUCUUCAAGUGGGAGAAUAUGGCUACCAGAGUGUUCCAGGUUUGUUUUUUUUUUACUAGAGAAUGCAUUGCAGUGUUUAAUUUCCUUAGUUCUUUUAUAUAUCAAAGCUAUUUUAAGUGGUGAGGAAAUAGCUAUUUUAUAUAUCAAAGCAUUGCAGGAGAGGUUAGUACGAGCACAAGUUCCCCUGUUGGUUCUUUGACAGCAGCGUUCUUGCGCAACCUUAUAUGAUGACAUUGCAGAAUCGGAUCAGUGCACUUCAGAGUCAGAAGUUGAGGAAGAAACCGAUGCAGAACAACCUAUAUAUGAAACUUAAUGAAAUUUAAUGAAAUUUAGAAAAAUAUUUAAUGAAAUUUUGUACAUACCCGUACCACAUAAGAACAUGAGUUUGAUAGAUUCACAAUGA
Molecule: non-coding RNA, 1453 nt
Organism: Camelina sativa (false flax)
Lineage: Eukaryota; Viridiplantae; Streptophyta; Magnoliopsida; Brassicales; Brassicaceae
Source: RefSeq, a predicted model, not a curated record